This 71-nucleotide transfer RNA is filed under the name Paenibacillus peoriae. RNAcentral's name for it is "tRNA-Gly". It matches the Rfam family "tRNA". Rfam says of the family: Transfer RNA (tRNA) molecules are approximately 80 nucleotides in length. Their secondary structure includes four short double-helical elements and three loops (D, anti-codon, and T loops). Lineage: Bacteria; Bacillati; Bacillota; Bacilli; Caryophanales; Paenibacillaceae. The record is from RNAcentral.
GGGGCGUGGCUCAGCGGUAGAGCAUCGCCUUGCCAAGGCGAGGGUCGCGGGUUCGAUUCCCGUCGUCCGCU